This is a non-coding RNA of Camellia sinensis, 994 nucleotides long. Lineage: Eukaryota; Viridiplantae; Streptophyta; Magnoliopsida; Ericales; Theaceae. The record is from RefSeq and is a predicted model, not a curated record.
GAAAAUUAAGUCUGUGGAGAUCAAUGAUGAUGCACAUGACCCCCAGAAGGUUGUCCUUCCAAAGGAACUGCAGCCACGGAAGAAGAGUGUUAAGGUAAAGACCAAAAGAGACCCAUCAAUCACGGAUUCAUCAGAGUUCAAUCCUUCUGAGGAAGAAGGAAAGGAGAAGAAAGAAGGGAAGGAUAAGAAAGAGAGGAAGAGAAAAGAAGAAAAUAAUAGCAAUAAAGUAGAAGAGAGAGAUAGGUUAAAGAAGACAAAGAAAGAUGCUAGUCUGAACGAAUCAGCCAAAGAGAAGAUCCUAGAAGUCUAGAAGGUUAACCUUGGGUGUUCUUUACAUGAUGAGACCCUUUUGAUUUUGGUGAAACAGGAAAAUUCAUCAACUAAGGAUGAUGAAAUAACUACUACCCUCCAUGCCAAGACUUUGGCAAUUGGAGCUGAAACCACAGAACCAGUGGAACAAACCAAUUACUCAGUCAUGGUGUUUUCCUCCCUUCUCUCCAACAAGGUCUCAUAUCCUAUUAGCAAAGAUGCUAUCGAGAGUUCCAGUCCUGAGAUUUCAAAAAAGUAAGUAAAAGAUUCGGCAGAUGAUUUUAUUGAUCUGGAUGUCUUUUUCUCUGAGCUGGAGGUUGAGGUUAAUCCUGAAAGGUAAGAAGCUUCCACUGUCCAGCCUGAGGCUCUUGCUUGCACCAUUUCAGUGUCUCAACCAAGUUGCAAAGUCAUUGAAAAAGCAAAUGAGAUCUUUAAGAAUAUUCUCCCAACUCCAUUCAAGGAUUUAGUACACCCUGACCGAUGUAUUGAGCUAGAAUUGGUCCUUUCUACACUGCUUUGGGCCUCUGGUUUUAAUCCAGAGCAAUACGAGGCCUUGAGAAGGUUCAAGGAAGAAUUCCCAGUCCUUACUGUUGACUACCAAGUCUCCAAGGCCACUCAAGAGGACUGUGAGGGCAAGCUCAAUGCCAUUGAAAUUUUAUCGACUGAGCUGGUGGAGGGAUUGGUU